ACGAACGCUGGCGGCGUGCUUAACACAUGCAAGUCGAACGCUGAAGGCCCAGCUUGCUGGGUUGGAUGAGUGGCGAACGGGUGAGUAACACGUGAGUAACCUGCCCCCUUCUUUGGGAUAACGGUCGGAAACGGCUGCUAAUACCGGGUAUUCACUGUCCUUCGCAUGGGGGGUGGUGGAAAGGUUUUUUCUGGUGGGGGAUGGGCUCGCGGCCUAUCAGCUUGUUGGUGGGGUGAUGGCUUACCAAGGCUUUGACGGGUAACCGGCCUGAGAGGGUGACCGGUCACAUUGGGACUGAGAUACGGCCCAGACUCCUACGGGAGGCAGCAGUGGGGAAUAUUGCACAAUGGGCGAAAGCCUGAUGCAGCGACGCCGCGUGAGGGAUGACGGCCUUCGGGUUGUAAACCUCUUUCGCUCAUGGUCAAGCCGCAACAGUGGUUGUGGUGAGGGUAGUGGGUAAAGAAGCACCGGCUAACUACGUGCCAGCAGCCGCGGUAAUACGUANGGUGCGAGCGUUGUCCGGAAUUAUUGGGCGUAAAGGGCUUGUAGGCGGUUUGU
This 558-nucleotide ribosomal RNA is filed under the name uncultured Actinomycetes bacterium. Its description in RNAcentral is "bacterial SSU rRNA". It matches the Rfam family "Bacterial small subunit ribosomal RNA", at positions 29 to 583 of the family's 1533-position model. Lineage: Bacteria; Bacillati; Actinomycetota; Actinomycetes. The record is from RNAcentral.